UGUGACAUACCUUAAUGUUGCCUCGGCGGAUCAGCCCGCGCCCCGUAAAACGGGACGGCCCGCCAGAGGACCCAAACUCUAAUGUUUCUUAUUGUAACUUCUGAGUAAAACAAACAAAUAAAUCAAAACUUUCAACAACGGAUCUCUUGGUUCUGGCAUCGAUGAAGAACGCAGCAAAAUGCGAUAAGUAAUGUGAAUUGCAGAAUUCAGUGAAUCAUCGAAUCUUUGAACGCACAUUGCGCCCGCUGGUAUUCCGGCGGGCAUGCCUGUUCGAGCGUCAUUUCAACCCUCAAGCCCCCGGGUUUGGUGUUGGGGAUCGGCUCUGCCUCACGGCGGUGCCGCCCCCGAAAUACAUUGGCGGUCUCGCUGCAGCCUCCAUUGCGUAGUAGCUAACACCUCGCAACUGGAACGCGGCGCGGCCAUGCCGUAAAACCCCAACUUCUGAAUGUUGACCUCGGAUCAGGUAGGAAUACCCGCUGAACUUAAGCAUAUCAAU
This 496-nucleotide ribosomal RNA is filed under the name uncultured Hypocreales. RNAcentral's name for it is "eukaryotic LSU rRNA". The stretch from base 127 to 280 matches the Rfam family "5.8S ribosomal RNA". Lineage: Eukaryota; Fungi; Ascomycota; Sordariomycetes; Hypocreales. The record is from RNAcentral.